Molecule: long non-coding RNA, 239 nt
Filed under: Elaeis guineensis (African oil palm)
Lineage: Eukaryota; Viridiplantae; Streptophyta; Magnoliopsida; Arecales; Arecaceae
Description: long non-coding RNA (EGUI_LNC019645)
Source: RNAcentral
AAGGGAUAGUCUGAGGUCGGCUUUUAAAGACUCUUCGUAGAGUCUGACUUAACCUCGAGAGGAUAAGGCUAUCUGAUGCUCGGGACCAACAACCUCUAACUUAAAUUCUAGAGGGAUUUGGUAUUGAAGAUGGAGAACCUCCAGGUCCUCGCAAGUGAGGAUGGAGGCUACUUGAAAGGGCCGAAGUUGCACACACCCUCGACUUCGGAGCUUUCCUCAUCGAUUGGGUUAUGACCAGA